UCGUCACACUAUCAUUAACUGAAUCCAUAGGUUAAUGAGGCGAACCGGGGGAACUGAAACAUCUAAGUACCCCGAGGAAAAGAAAUCAACCGAGAUUCCCCCAGUAGCGGCGAGCGAACGGGGAGGAGCCCAGAGCCUGAAUCAGCAUGUGUGUUAGUGGAAGCGUCUGGAAAGGCGCGCGAUACAGGGUGACAGCCCCGUACACAAAAGCGCAUGUGCUGUGAGCUCGAUGAGUAGGGCGGGACACGUGGUAUCCUGUCUGAAUAUGGGGGGACCAUCCUCCAAGGCUAAAUACUCCUGACUGACCGAUAGUGAACCAGUACCGUGAGGGAAAGGCGAAAAGAACCCCGGCGAGGGGAGUGAAAAAGAACCUGAAACCGUGUACGUACAAGCAGUGGGAGCACCCUUUGGGUGUGACUGCGUACCUUUUGUAUAAUGGGUCAGCGACUUAUAUUCUGUAGCAAGGUUAACCGAAUAGGGGAGCCGGAGGGAAACCGA
Molecule: ribosomal RNA, 498 nt
Filed under: Salmonella enterica subsp. enterica serovar Enteritidis
Lineage: Bacteria; Pseudomonadati; Pseudomonadota; Gammaproteobacteria; Enterobacterales; Enterobacteriaceae
Description: partial 23S ribosomal RNA
Rfam family: Bacterial large subunit ribosomal RNA
Source: RNAcentral